Molecule: long non-coding RNA, 638 nt
Filed under: Homo sapiens (human)
Lineage: Eukaryota; Metazoa; Chordata; Mammalia; Primates; Hominidae
Description: HSALNT0004047
Source: RNAcentral
CUGGAGUGCAGUGGUGCAAUCAUGGCUGACUCGGAGUAGCUGAGACCACAGGAAUAGUCAAGCUGGAGCUCAAGGCUUCUGUGUAAGAUUCUGAGGGCUCUGAAGCCACUGUUCUGUGAGGAAGCCCAUAGUAGCCUACAUGGAGGAGCCACACGGAGAAGCCCUGUGACUGCCUGACCAGUUCCCAGAUGCCGCUGACAUUCCAGCUCCAACUACCAUCUGACUGCAUCCUCACAAGGGGCCUCGACCCAGAUUCACCCAGCUAAGCCUCUCCUGAAUUGCUGACACACAGAAACCAUGAGAAAAAAAUAAAAUCAUUAUUGUUGUUUUAAGCCCACUAAUUUUGGACUGGCUUGGUAGGCAGCUGUAGAUAACCAGAGCCUUUGUCCACAGCCUUGUCCCAUCUGUGUCUCAGAAGACAGAAAAUGGUAACCUUCAUUCUUCCAUUCACUCAACAAAUAUUGAAGCAUUGUGCUUGGUGUUUGGGAUACAUCAGUGAACAAAGCACACAAAAUUCCCUGUGCACGCUGAACUUACAAAGAACAAUGAGUCAGUGACACAGUAGGUAAGAAGAUGGCAAGUGGAAGAAAAGUCAAACCAGGAAAGGGGAAAGGCAGUGGCCGUAGGGAUCUUGGAAU